Molecule: ribosomal RNA, 492 nt
Filed under: uncultured bacterium
Lineage: Bacteria
Description: partial 16S ribosomal RNA
Rfam family: Bacterial small subunit ribosomal RNA
Source: RNAcentral
AGUGAACGCUGGCGGUAGGCCUAACACAUGCAAGUCGAACGGCAGCACAGUAAGAGCUUGCUCUUACGGGUGGCGAGUGGCGGACGGGUGAGGAAUACAUCGGAAUCUACUUUUUCGUGGGGGAUAACGUAGGGAAACUUACGCUAAUACCGCAUACGACCUACGGGUGAAAGCAGGGGAUCUUCGGACCUUGCGCGAUUGAAUGAGCCGAUGUCGGAUUAGCUAGUUGGCGGGGUAAAGGCCCACCAAGGCGACGAUCCGUAGCUGGUCUGAGAGGAUGAAACACAACAGUGGAAGUGAGACACGGACAAGAGCCCACGGGAAGGAGCCGGUGGGAAAUAUUGAACAAGGGGCGCAAGCCUAAUCCACCCAUCCCGGGGGGAGAAAGAAGGCUUCGGGUUUUAAAGCCCUUUUUUUUGGAAAAAAAAACAAGCAGGUUAUUCCCCCGUUGUUCGGGCGGAACCCAAAGAAUAAGCCCCGGCAAGCUUGGUC